RNAcentral lists this ribosomal RNA (460 nucleotides) under uncultured bacterium. RNAcentral describes it as "partial 16S ribosomal RNA". It matches the Rfam family "Bacterial small subunit ribosomal RNA", at positions 338 to 795 of the family's 1533-position model. The record is from RNAcentral.
CCUACGGGGCGCUGCAGUGAGGAAUAUUGGUCAAUGGGCGAGAGCCUGAACCAGCCAAGUCGCGUGAAGGAUGAAGGAUCUAUGGUUUGUAAACUUCUUUUAUAUGGGAAUAAAGUGAGGAACGUGUUCCUUUUUGUAUGUACCAUAUGCAUAAGCAUCGGCUAACUCCGUGACAGCAGCCGAGUUAAUACGGAGGGUGCGAGCGUUGUCCGGAUUUAUUGGGUUUAAAGGGUGCGUAGGUGGUUAAUUAAGUCAGCGGUGAAAGUUUGUGGCUCAACCAGAAAAUGGCCGUUGAAACUGGUUGACUAGAGUAUAGUAGAGGUAGGCGGAAUGCGUGGUGUAGCGGUGAAAUGCAUAGAUAUCAGGAAGAACACCGAUGGCGAAGGCAGCUUACUAAACUAUAACUGACACUGAAGCACGAAAGCGUGGGGAGCAAACAGGAUUAGAUACCCGAGUAGUC